CAACUUCAAGGAAGUGUAGAUUAGUAUACCACAGUAUAUGAAGAUGUUUAUGUAGAAUGAGUGCUGAAUUGUUUAUGAAAAAAUAAGUCAUUUUUCUUUAGAAAUAUAUUAAAUGCUUUGGAUAUGUCGCAUUUGAGCAAAAAAGAAUGGGUUGUGUUAAUAGUCGGACAGAUAUUAAUGAUCUACAUCCAAACAUUUUUCAAGUGAUGAAUGUAGAUGAUCAAGGAAAUUUAGUUACUCCUGGACGUUUAGAAGUUACAGAAACUGACAUAGUGCUUUACCAGCGUGGUAAACAACCUAUUAAAUGGCCAUUGCGUUGUUUACGGCGGUAUGGCUAUGAUGCAGAAAUCUUUAGUUUUGAGUCGGGCAGAAGAUGUUCUACUGGGCCAGGCAUUUAUGCAUUUAAAUGUCGUAGAGCAGAACAUUUAUUUAAUCUUGUGCAAGCAAACAUUCAGGUUUGUAACAACAGUGGAGAUGAUACUAUGUCCAGAGAACUUCCUGUUGCUUCUCAUCCUGGCCAAACAGUAACACGAGUGACAAUACCGGUUGAGCCUAAUUAUUUGGAUCCAAUACUGAAUAGAAGUAAUAACCGUACAGGCUCCAGAUUUGCUCAUAACCAACAAAAUGGAGUUGGAAGAUUAGAUAGUGUAGGAAGUAGCACCGGUCUUAUAUCACCUCAAGGAAAUAUAAGUUCCCCUUCAUCUCCUCCUGUGCUACCACCACCACCUCCACCACUCCCUCAACCACAUCCGUCCUCACUUUAUGUUAACGAAGAAGUAUUAGCUUCUUUACCAUUGGAGAUGGAGCAUAAUAAUAAUAAAAGCCUUAGAAGAGCAAUACAAAGGUACCUUGAAUGUCAAUUGCUUUUGUUAUCAAUUUCAAUUCAUUGUAUUAAUAUCUUAUAUUUUUUUAGAUCUUGUACAGACAGUAAUUCUAUAUCUAAUAGUGGUUCAGUAUCUUUGGAACAAAGAUCUGUUAAUAUGAGUUCAGAAGUCACUUCUCAAACAAAAUCACCACUUUCAGUAGCAGCUUAUAUGAAUGUAGAUAUUAAUAGCGAUAUUAGUUUACUCUCUCCAACGCACAGCGUUUCCGACGCUUCGCAAUUUAAGAAAGACAAUGAAUGUGGACACGCAUACAUGAAUAUAAGUCCCGGUCAAGAAAAAACAGAAUCUUUUAGUAGUAGACAACGACCUUCGCCAUUGCCAUGUAUUCAGUCUGAAAUGGAAGAGGGAGUAAAACAUUGUUAUGCUAAUCUAGAACCAAGUGAAAUCGAAAGCCUAAGGAAACGAUUUUCUGGAGUAUCUGUAGCAGAAAAAUCGCCUUUGCCUCCAUCAACACCUACAGGUGGUCCAAUUAGGGAAGUAAAUUAUGCUGUAUUAGAUCUGGACACAAAAGAUGCAUCGAGUGUUUCACCGUUAGACGGUCCUCCAAAUUUUACUGCAUCUCCUCCAGAGUCUCCAAAUAAGCUACAGAAAGGAUAUGCAACGAUAGAUUUUAAUAAAACGGCUGCUCUUUCUCAUUCGGUUAACCCCAACCUUGUGAAUGAUAAUGAAGGUUCAAGAAAAACGCGUCACAAUUCUACGAUUAGUGAUUUAGCAGCUUCCGGUAGACGUAGUUCAUCUGUAAGCGAAUGAUCAAUUGUUUAUUUUAUGACUGUGCCUAAGUAACAAAUAUUAAUAGCAUUUUAUAGGAGGUAACAAAGUUUUACUUGUUUGUUAAUGAUAUGAAACCAAAGAACAGAAAUUUAAUUUAUAUAUAUUUUUUGUAAUAUUGAUCAAGAAAAGUUUCAGUGUUAUAUAUAAAUCUAAUGUUAAGCGACCCUUUAUUUUUCAUGGAUUAUCUUGCAUUUCAUUAUUAUGUAAUAACACUUAGUUUUAUAUUUUAUAAAGUUUUUAACGAUGUGGUUACUACAUCACAGUAUUUUUAAAAAGUAAGUCUUUUUUCAAAGUGCUGUUAGGAUGCACAAAAGAAACAUCUUUUUUACAUGAUAUACAAAUAUGUUUAUAGAAAAUUAUAGGUAAAAAUGACUUUUUACAUUAAAUAUUAUGGAGGAAUUGGAAGCUAAAGUGCCCUAGUUUUUCCUGUAUUGUAGGAAUUGAUGAGGCUCAAAUAGUCUAACUGAAGUAAGAGCAUAAAAGUAUAUGAUGUUGUAACAUAAAAAAAGGAUGGUGAUGAUAUACUAUAUAAUUAAAUAACUAUUUUUAAAGUAGUUAACUUCAAACGCAAUGAUGGCUAUAAAAUCGUAAAUUUGGAGUGAUUUUAAUAAGUGGAAGAAAUGCGCAAAAUUCUGUUCAUUUGCACAAAUUAUUGUACUGAGUCAAAGUAGCAGACAUUUGUUUAAAAUUGUCUUGCACGAAUUUUUAAAGUAUCAGUACUGUUUUUCAUUAAAAACAGUUGAGUCAACGAAUAAUACCGCAUUUGUAACUCUAUUUCUAAUGUCUAUAAAAUCAGGCAACCUUUUCUUCCAAUAGCUCCUAAAAUGUUUGUAAAAUGAUAAAUUUAUAAUAAAUACAAAUCUUAGUUUUUGUAAA
Megachile rotundata (alfalfa leafcutting bee) is the source of this 2531-nucleotide unclassified non-coding RNA. The record is from RefSeq and is a predicted model, not a curated record. NCBI's taxonomy places the organism in Eukaryota, Metazoa, Arthropoda, Insecta, Hymenoptera, Megachilidae.